UAAGGCCCUUUCGGGGGUACACGAGCGGCGAACGGGUGAGUAACACGUGAGUAAUCUGCCCUUCACUUCGGGAUAACCACCGGAAACGGUGGCUAAUACCGGAUACGACCAGUCUCCGCAUGGGGUGCUGGUGGAAAGUUCUGGCGGUGGAGGAUGAGCUCGCGGCCUAUCAGCUUGUUGGUGGGGUAGUGGCCUACCAAGGCGACGACGGGUAGCCGGCCUGAGAGGGUGACCGGCCACACUGGGACUGAGACACGGCCCAGACUCCUACGGGAGGCAGCAGUGGGGAAUAUUGGACAAUGGGCGGAAGCCUGAUCCAGCAACGCCGCGUGAGGGAUGACGGCCUUCGGGUUGUAAACCUCUUUCAGUACCGACGAAGCGCAAGUGACGGUAGGUACAGAAGAAGCACCGGCCAACUACGUGCCAGCAGCCGCGGUAAUACGUAGGGUGCGAGCGUUGUCCGGAAUUAUUGGGCGUAAAGGGCUCGUAGGCGGUUUGUCGCGUCGGGAGUGAAAACUCGGGGCUUAACUCCGAGCCUGCUUCCGAUACGGGCAGACUAGAGGUAUGCAGGGGAGAACGGAAUUCCUGGUGUAGCGGUGAAAUGCGCAGAUAUCAGGAGGAACACCGGUGGCGAAGGCGGUUCUCUGGGCAUUACCUGACGCUGAGGAGCGAAAGUGUGGGGAGCGAACAGGAUUAGAUACCCUGGUAGUCCACACCGUAAACGUUGGGCGCUAGGUGUGGGACUCAUUCCACGAGUUCCGUGCCGCAGCUAACGCAUUAAGCGCUCCGCCUGGGGAGUACGGCCGCAAGGCUA
RNAcentral lists this ribosomal RNA (814 nucleotides) under uncultured bacterium. RNAcentral describes it as "bacterial SSU rRNA". It matches the Rfam family "Bacterial small subunit ribosomal RNA", at positions 70 to 896 of the family's 1533-position model. The record is from RNAcentral.